Molecule: transfer RNA, 72 nt
Filed under: Pangasius djambal
Lineage: Eukaryota; Metazoa; Chordata; Actinopteri; Siluriformes; Pangasiidae
Description: tRNA-Glu
Rfam family: tRNA
About the family: Transfer RNA (tRNA) molecules are approximately 80 nucleotides in length. Their secondary structure includes four short double-helical elements and three loops (D, anti-codon, and T loops).
Source: RNAcentral
UCCCUGGAGGAAUAGUGGAUAGGCCACGGAGCUCUCACUGCUGUGGCCCGGGUUCAAUUCCCGGCUAGGGAA